Acromyrmex echinatior (Panamanian leafcutter ant) is the source of this 1669-nucleotide RNA transcript. RefSeq lists it as uncharacterized. The record is from RefSeq and is a predicted model, not a curated record. NCBI's taxonomy places the organism in Eukaryota, Metazoa, Arthropoda, Insecta, Hymenoptera, Formicidae.
AAAUGUAAGAGCAAGAUAUAAACUUCAAUUCAAUCUAAUGCAACAAAGAAUAUAGGCUUCAAUGAUUCUUAGAUUGUUUACAUAGAUGAUACAUAAAACAUAGUUUACAUACUCAUAAUUUUUGAGUUACAACCAGAAAAUGAAAAGCCGAGCCUUAGUGGAUAGGCAAUGGGCAGGGCAUGUUGCAUCUUAGGAUGUCCCUCGGGAGGAGAUGCUCCAUCUCAUCAGAUCCCCAAGAAUCCAGCUCUCUUCCAGAAAUGGAAAAGCCUGAUUUACUCUGAGAAAAUUCAACAUAUGACCGAUGAGCAGAUAAGCAAGUGUGCUGUGUGCUAUCGGCAUUUUGCUGACAAUGACUAUCUAGUAACCUUCCGAGUAAGAAAAUUGAAACGUGGAGUUGCACCUUCCUUAAAUUUGCCAAACAGACCAGAUUCUAGUGUACCUGUUAUAAUUAAAGUAGAAACAUCGCCUGCGAGUAGAGAAACAUUUACUGCAAAAGAAAAGGUAACAGAAAUUCCAAGAAUAAUAGAAGAAUUAGAAACAACUCAAAUUACAUUAUUCGAAGAUAUUUCGGAAGAAAUUAAAUCCUGCUCAUUCGACCAGUCACAAAUUUUAUUAGAUAAGAAUAUUGAGCAAAUUAAUUCAACGGCAGAAACAUUUAAAUUAAAUCAUAAAGAAAGGACGUCGAGAAAGAAACGAAAAUUAACUACAAAACAAUUGCAUCUACUUCAAUGUAAACAACAAGCCAAACAAUAUGAAAAAACACCUUCGAUUCAAAAGCUGCUAUCUUUUCUCACGCCUGCUGAAAUAGCAACUAUUAAAACUAGAAUACGAAAAGCAAGAUAUGCCCCGAGAAUAUAUGUAAGAAUAUAUCACAACAUUGCACAAAGGAAGGCUUUUAGUCACUUAAAGCUCGUAGAAGAUUAGUAAUUUAUUGCAAGUCUUAAAAUCAAGAAUGCAAAAUCAGGAUGUGAAAUUCAUCUGCUUUAGAAUAUCAUGAGAAGCAAAUCUUAGCAAGUAUGAAUUUAUCGCAAUUAUAUUAACAACAAAGAAUUAAUUUCGCCAUAAUAAUGAGGAGAAUAAUAUUUGAAAAUUAAUCCAGGACACGAAAGACCUAUCAUGUGUAAUAAAGGUGCGAAAAAUUAAGGUGUGUACUAAGGAUUAUAUACUGCAAUAUGUAUAUUUUUCUACAUGCAUAAGUAAAACUAUAAUUAACGAGUUCGGCAACUACAUACAGAUGGAAAAGAUUCAAACGGGCAUGUUGGGUGCAAAGUUUCAACAUUAUGUCGAUACAACGGUAGUUUUACUGUAUUUUUAAAAACGAAUACAUGAAAUAUACAUUUAUAAUUAUAUGUAUGUAUAAUUGGUAGAAGGAUUGUAUUAUUCUCUGAAUAUAGACUUCUGAAUUCUAUCUUAUCGCUAACGGUGUCGCAAAGAGUAUCGUAGAACGUAUUCUUUCUGAACACAUAAUCUUGACGGGGAUUAUUCGGUUGAGCACUUUACUCGCCGGUAACGAAUACUUUUAUUAUGCGAGAGAAUCUCUAUACUGUUAUCAAUAGAGAUUCGUCAUUUAGGAAACGCGUCGAUAAAUAUUGUUCUGUGCGUAACCGAUUUCGGGGAGAGAAGUGAGAGUGGGAAACAGGAAUAAAUUCGAUCGAAUUAGUACAAAUAA